RNAcentral lists this long non-coding RNA (512 nucleotides) under Equus asinus (donkey). RNAcentral describes it as "lncRNA (ENSEASG00005030994.1)". Lineage: Eukaryota; Metazoa; Chordata; Mammalia; Perissodactyla; Equidae. The record is from RNAcentral.
GUGCGUCACGCGGCCAUCUUGGAGCCGGGCAGCGCGCCCGUUCUGGAACCUGAGCAGCUCCGUGGUUACUGUUCAAGGUGGGUCUUUGGAAGGUCUGUGUCAGAGCUUGACAGCAGGCACCUGAGUGUUUGACAUUUGCUGCUGGACCAUGGGCUGCAGCGAUGCCCCGCGGCGGGGGCUCCGGACGCGCCGAGGUCAGGCCCAGGAGAGGAGCUGUGACGUGGGCACCCCUGCGAAGCCUGGGCUCCCUGGUGACCCUCUCUGAUCUCGCCCCCCGCCGUCUGUGCCAUGGUGUGGAUGGCGCUCCCCCGGGGCAGGUCUGCCCCAGGACGCCGCGCCGCGUCUGGACACGUUUCGGGUUGUCAUGACCGGGGUGCUCCUGGCGUCUGGUGGGUGCAGGCCUGGGGUGCCGCUCAACACCCACGCGCCCAGGGCGGCCCCACCACUGUCCUCUCGGCAGGGCAUUCGGUUGUCAGGGCCUCUUUUUCAACUGCAUUCCCAACUCAUCCGAG